Molecule: non-coding RNA, 252 nt
Filed under: Peptoclostridium acidaminophilum
Lineage: Bacteria; Bacillati; Bacillota; Clostridia; Peptostreptococcales; Peptoclostridiaceae
Description: T-box sequence
Rfam family: T-box leader
About the family: Uncharged tRNA acts as the effector for transcription antitermination of genes in the T-box leader family. T-boxes are found upstream of many aminoacyl-tRNA synthetase genes and some amino acid biosynthetic genes usually in Gram-positive bacteria. The anticodon of a specific tRNA base pairs to a specifier sequence within the T-box motif, and the NCCA acceptor tail of the tRNA base pairs to a conserved bulge in the T-box antiterminator hairpin.
Source: RNAcentral
CCAAAGGCUUGGAUUAGGACAGUAGUGCAGUGAAGAUGUUUUUAGAGAGGCGGCCGCUCGGUGGAAGGCUGUCAGCAUAUAGUGCAUGAAUAUCACCUAUGAGCCCGAAGGCUGAAAUCGUUAUGAGAAUAAGCCUUUGCGAUAGUGGAUGCGUUAAAUCCAUACAAAGUGUCAGACUUGAGGCGCAUUUUAUAAAAAUGCUUGGUUUGGUCUGUUCAUUUGGGUGGUACCGCGAGAAUAUUCGUCCCAAGU